GACGAACGCUGGCGGCGUGCUUAACACAUGCAAGUCGAACGGAAAGGCCCUGCUUUUGUGGGGUGCUCGAGUGGCGAACGGGUGAGUAACACGUGAGUAACCUGCCCUUGACUUUGGGAUAACUUCAGGAAACUGGGGCUAAUACCGGAUAGGAGCUCCUGCUGCAUGGGGGGGGUUGGAAAGUUUCGGCGGUUGGGGAUGGACUCGCGGCUUAUCAGCUUGUUGGUGGGGUAGUGGCUUACCAAGGCUUUGACGGGUAGCCGGCCUGAGAGGGUGACCGGCCACAUUGGGACUGAGAGACGGCCCAGACGCCUACGGGAGGCAGCAGUCGGGAGUAUUGCACAAUGGGCGGAAGCCUGAUGCAGCAACGCUGCGUGCGGGAUGACGGCCUUCGGGUUGUAAACCGCUUUCGCCUGUGACGAAGCGUGAGUGACGGUAAUGGGUAAAGAAGCACCGGCUAACUACGUG
Molecule: ribosomal RNA, 468 nt
Filed under: uncultured bacterium
Lineage: Bacteria
Description: partial 16S ribosomal RNA
Rfam family: Bacterial small subunit ribosomal RNA
Source: RNAcentral